Molecule: ribosomal RNA, 251 nt
Filed under: uncultured bacterium
Lineage: Bacteria
Description: partial 16S ribosomal RNA
Rfam family: Bacterial small subunit ribosomal RNA
Source: RNAcentral
UACGAGGGGCUAGCGUUGUUCGGAAUUACUGGGCGUAAAGCGCACGUAGGCGGGUUUGUAAGUAGGGGGUGAAAUCCCAGGGCUCAACCCUGGAACUGCCUUCUAAACUGCAAGCCUGGAGGUCAGGAGAGGCGAGUGGAAUACCGAGUGUAGAGGUGAAAUUCGUAGAUAUUCGGUGGAACACCAGUGGCGAAGGCGACUCGCUGGACUGAUACUGACGCUGAGGUGCGAAAGCGUGGGGAGCAAACAGG